UUAUCAACUUACUUUUGAUUUAUCAUUAUAUUUAAGGUUUAGAAUUUAUCACUUUAACUCUGAUUGAUGUAGGUUGUUUGUACUAUUUUUUUGAAUUUGUUUUUGAACUCAGCAAGCGAUUUACUAAUUUUCAGGUCCGUUUCGAAAUUAUUCCACAGAUUAACACCUUUGACAGAUACACUUCUUUGCUUGAUGUUUGUCCUUGUUUUGAGUUUUUUGAAUAAGUUGGUACCUCUUAAAUCAGCGCUGCUUUCUCGAAUUUCGAAAAACUUCAGAAUGUUUUGGCAGAGCAGGUUAUUGUGUGCUUUGUACAUUAAUUGGGCGAUUUUAAAGUCACCCAG
Hippocampus zosterae (dwarf seahorse) is the source of this 341-nucleotide long non-coding RNA. RefSeq lists it as uncharacterized. NCBI's taxonomy places the organism in Eukaryota, Metazoa, Chordata, Actinopteri, Syngnathiformes, Syngnathidae. The record is from RefSeq and is a predicted model, not a curated record. The transcript is spliced from 2 exons.